Molecule: long non-coding RNA, 970 nt
Filed under: Mus musculus (house mouse)
Lineage: Eukaryota; Metazoa; Chordata; Mammalia; Rodentia; Muridae
Description: predicted gene 43358
Source: RNAcentral
ACUCCAGGUUCCUGUCUGCAAGCACCUCUUGACCACAGGAACAGUGUCUGGUUUGGUUUCUUCAGACAGGAUGGAUCCCCAGUGUGGGAUCCUAUCUGAUAAAGUCAUUUCUCGCACAGUGAGAGGAGCAUUGGAUCAUCAGAGAUUCAUGUUCUGUAGUACCAAGAAGCAUUUGUGAACUCCGAAAGACCAAUCAGGUGCCGAUCCGAUCCGAUCCAAUCACACAAGAGUCUUUAUUCAUAAGUUCAAACUCGGGCUUAAGUCAUGCUGACACACAGGAUGGUUUCGGUGGAUAAAAGCCCCAAACACUCCUCAGGACAAGAUUUUAUAGGAAAUAUCAAGAGAAGGUAUUCCAUUACAGCAGCCAGAAUCUAGCACUUCAGAAACAAAGUACCAGAGAAACAAAUGGGCAGCAAACAUCAACUCUGAAAUACAUUGUCUCUGAUCUAUGCAGCUUGGAUAGUGAAUUUCUUUCCAUAAAUAGUUAAUAAGAUAUCAGCUCUAAUGACAAGAAUAAACUGUUAAACCAAUUCAUUUAGUGUUUUAUAGAUAGGAAACAACACAAAGACCUACAACUGGUCAAGGCAUAGAGGGAACAAGAGGCUAAGGAAUACUCAACACUAACUGGAACAUAUAUAUUCCAUCUCCUCCUAUUAAGGUUGAAAGAUCAUUGCAGAAUAAGUUUUCACAUUAAAAUAUUUGGUGCACAAUUUAAAAAGAAAGGUCAUGGGAAGGAAUAUCCAGAGGAUGAUACUUUGCCCGAGGAAAAUGUACAGCUCAUUGCCUACAUUAAAUGACUCUGCAACUGCACGAGAACUUAAGAGAUGGUACUCACCACUCGAAUAUAAGGAGCAAACAGCCAAGCUUUGUGCUUGUUUUUAUAUUUUUCCACAAAUUGCUUGGUUUUUUUUUCCCUAAUAUGUUCAACAACAGUUAAACAUUACCAGAAAAUAAAUUAUUACUCACCAUC